UGGGGAAUUUUGCGCAAUGACCUAAUGGUUGACUCACCAACGCCUCGUGAAUGAUGAAGGCUUUCGGGUCUCAAAGUACUUUCAGUGGGGAAGAACUGCAUAAUCAGUAGCUGGGUUAUGAUUGACGGUACCCACAGAAGCAGCCCCGGCUAACUCCGUGCCAGCAGCCGCGGUAAUACGGAAGGGGCAAGCGUUGUUCGGAGUCACUGGGCGUAAAGAGCUCGUAAGCGGCACGUAAGUCGGGAGUUAAAGGCCACAGCUCAACUGGUGUUUGGCUUCUGAAACUACAUUGCUAGAGUGCCAAAGAGGUAUGCCGAAUUCCCUGUGUAACUGUGAAAUGCUUAGAUAUAACGAGGAACACCGGUUGCGAAUGCUGCAUACUGGCUGAUAAUUGACCCUGAGGAGCGAAAGCGUGGGUAGCAAAAG
This 426-nucleotide ribosomal RNA is filed under the name uncultured Geovibrio sp. Its description in RNAcentral is "bacterial SSU rRNA". It matches the Rfam family "Bacterial small subunit ribosomal RNA", at positions 355 to 774 of the family's 1533-position model. The record is from RNAcentral. Lineage: Bacteria; Pseudomonadati; Deferribacterota; Deferribacteres; Deferribacterales; Geovibrionaceae.